ACAGCUUUAGAUGAAUGGAUGGCCUUUACAUUUGGAUGGCCCUUUAGAAGUGACACAUUGAAUUUGAAGGGAGCAUCAUUUAUGGAAGGAAUCUUGUAGCUUCCAGGCCCACACGUAUACAAGCAGCCAGGUGGUAUCCACUUGUGAGCUAAGUCUCCCCACUUAAGUUCUUCCAAGGCUACCCACCCCAAACCUUGUAUAAAUGCUCCUUCAAU
RNAcentral lists this unclassified non-coding RNA (215 nucleotides) under Hevea brasiliensis (rubber tree). The record is from RNAcentral. Lineage: Eukaryota; Viridiplantae; Streptophyta; Magnoliopsida; Malpighiales; Euphorbiaceae.